CGCGGAACUGAAAGUGAGAGGUGGUUCUGGUGCUCCGUGUGUGGAAAAGUGAAAAGGACAGGGGGAAGACGUGCGCGUAAAAACCCAGGAAGCCUGUGCGCUUACAUCAAUGCCCUCAGCUAGGCCACUGAGAGGACCCCCGCAUCUCUCUUCUUCCUGCCCACCAACACCUGACAGAAACAGAGGCAGAGUGGCUCAGAGUCUCAGGAUAAGCCUCAUGUUUUAUUUGUGAAAAUUGGCCCCAUUGUCCCAUAAGUCACCUCACACAGCACUCUUCGUCUUCACGCCACACUGAGCCUGUCCUGGAGCAUCAGCAUCAUCACCCGCUGCUAGAGCACUCAGAUUGUGUUCUGCGUGUCCUCUGUGGUGCAGCCAAACAUCCACCCGUAAUUCCUAAGAAACUGUGAAGCUUUUUCUUCCACACACACUAAGUGCUGGACACAUCCGUGAUGUUUCAUGAAUACUUUGUCCACUAAACAGUCCUCUUCAUAAAUACCAUACGACCAGUCGACAGCUGGGAGUUCAGUCUGCUCAGGAUUUCUUGAACUUGGAAAUAUAAAGACCAAAGGGACGACAAAAGAAGAGUGGGCAGAGAAU
Long non-coding RNA from Cynoglossus semilaevis (tongue sole), 597 nucleotides. RefSeq lists it as uncharacterized. The record is from RefSeq and is a predicted model, not a curated record. Lineage: Eukaryota; Metazoa; Chordata; Actinopteri; Pleuronectiformes; Cynoglossidae. The transcript is spliced from 3 exons.